This 608-nucleotide long non-coding RNA is filed under the name Setaria italica (foxtail millet). RNAcentral describes it as "long non-coding RNA (SITA_LNC006434)". The record is from RNAcentral. Lineage: Eukaryota; Viridiplantae; Streptophyta; Magnoliopsida; Poales; Poaceae.
CAGGCUUGCAUUUCCUUGCCACCACGGUACACUCCAGCUGUCCAGCUAAUUAAAACCAUCACCUUCCAAAAAAACACAUAACGCCCAGUUUCAUCUAUAUAUAUAUGCCCCACACUUCUCUUCAUAUCAGUAGUACAUUCAAGUGUCCAACAGAAAACUCUCCACUUUGCACGACCAGAGACAGAGAGUAUGGUAUGCUGGGGAUAAGCGUAGACAUGAUAAGGAAUUGGCGACGUGCUCAUACUAUUUGAGAACGGAAGGGGUUAGGAGGGCCUGCACAGUCGGAGGAAGCAUCCGCUGCACAAAUUGAUUAUCGAUCGCCACAGUGAAUAUAAUCGACCUCCUCUGCCAUGUGUGUUGGUCGAACAACACCCCUGCAAGAAACCACUUGAUCACCGAACAAGCCUCCGGGUCCGGACUGCAACACCACGGCAAUGGGGCUCCAAUGGACGAUCACCGGAUACAGUUGCCCCUGGUUGGGGUGCAGCCGCGAUCGAGACGGGAGUUUUUAGCUUUUCCUCUGUUGGGUGAAUCUCGUGAUAGGCGGUCGGGGAGUAGAGGUUUUUCUGCCUCUGAUGACUAGGGCCUGUAGCGGGGCGAACGUGUCA